CUCAAGAAGCAAGGAAACAAAUUCUCCCAUAAAGCCUCCGAAAGGAAGACAGAGCUGUUGACACCUAGAUUUUAGAUCAGAGAGACCCAUUCUGGACUUCUACCUACAGAACUCUAUUCUUACCAAUAUGAGAGGUACCUGGACAAGAACGAAAUACUCCUUAGACAUUCCUCUGGCAAAUGAUAUAGCCCUAUUUCUGAAGUUUCUCCCUAUGGCGCUUAUGAAAUAGAACACUGAGCAUCUAGAGUCAAGAUUCAGCAAAGACAUCAAAAUUUAAGGACUGGAAGACAGAGAUUGGAAGAAAUUUUGAUAUUGGCUUUGGCACUACCUAACUAUAAAGCCUCUAAACAUUACUUCCUCAUCUAUAAACCUGGGAAGAUUUCAGCUCUGCCUUCUACAGUUAGCGCAAGAAAAAUUCAAAUGAGGCUUUUUUUCGAGGCUGGGAAUCUCAUUUUGUUGGGAUGCAUCUAGACAUGGAUGCAAAGUGGCCUUUCAUGGGAUGUUUUGGACAGUUAUGUGCCAAAGAGGCAUGAGAAAAGCAUCUGAGGUCCUAAAAACAAGCCUCAUUCUAGCCUAGGCAUGGGCAAACAGGCACUAAGCCAGAAUUAAUGGAAGUUACAUGCCAUAAAGGUGGAGAAGUCUGACCUGUCUGGACAAUCUUUCUAUUUGGUCCGUGGUACGCAUCUUUAUCUACCGACAGCUUGCUUGGGUGCAGAUUGUGGAGACCUUUUAAAGAAAGGUGUAGACGAUGCUGGCUGCAAUGCACAGGACAGUUUCGAGAGAAAGGAUUUGGAAUUCGCCUUUAGGGGGAGAACACAGGUCAACAGUUCAUUUGCCUGAAGGCUUCAAGGACUUCUCAUGACAGCAACCAUGCAGCUCUUAACCAUUUGGAAGGCAGCUGGAUGGAUACUCGGGAUAAAAAAUUUCUGUAAACCCAUUGAGUCUGCUUCAGUCAUAUAAUGGGGGUUGGGAGAGCAGAGGCUCUGACCCACAUAUAAUGACUACUGAGGGACAAGGAUGUAAGAAGACCUUUAGGACAUGAUGCUGGAAUGCUGGCAGAAGGUCACCUGAACAAGGAUGUUACCAGAAUAAAAAUUUGCAAAGAAAACCAAUAGAACGUAAAACAAUGAAUUCAAAUGUCAUAUGAUUAAUGAAUAUGGUUCAUGAAUUGCAACAAGGUACUGUACUAAUGCACAUUAAUAGAGAAAACUGCGUGUUGGGAGGUGUAAUGUGGGAACUCUACCUUGUGCAUGAUUUUUCUGUAAACCUACAAAUGUUACAAAAUAUUGAAAAAUGAAAUUUAUGUUAAAUUAAAAUUAAUAAAAAAAGCUCACCCCCCCAAAAA
Molecule: long non-coding RNA, 1345 nt
Organism: Choloepus didactylus (southern two-toed sloth)
Lineage: Eukaryota; Metazoa; Chordata; Mammalia; Pilosa; Megalonychidae
Exons: 3
Source: RefSeq, a predicted model, not a curated record